UGCAUCGCCCGGGAAUCGAACCCGGGCCGCCCGCGUAGCAGGCGAGUAUUCAAUCACUGAACCACCGAUGG
This 71-nucleotide transfer RNA is filed under the name Cordylochernes scorpioides. RNAcentral describes it as "tRNA-Ser". Lineage: Eukaryota; Metazoa; Arthropoda; Arachnida; Pseudoscorpiones; Chernetidae. The record is from RNAcentral.